This 68-nucleotide transfer RNA is filed under the name Marmota monax (woodchuck). RNAcentral describes it as "tRNA.Ala". The record is from RNAcentral. Lineage: Eukaryota; Metazoa; Chordata; Mammalia; Rodentia; Sciuridae.
GGAUUGUGGCUUAGCGGUAAAACACUUGCCUAGCGUGUGCAAGGCCCUGGGUUCGAUCCUCAGCACCA